RNAcentral lists this ribosomal RNA (1339 nucleotides) under metagenome. RNAcentral's name for it is "bacterial LSU rRNA". It matches the Rfam family "Bacterial large subunit ribosomal RNA", at positions 1567 to 2910 of the family's 2925-position model. The record is from RNAcentral.
UACGUCCACACCUUUUAGGUGUGGGCCAGUUGGCUGUCAUACUUCCAAGAAAAGCUCGAACUACUGUAAAGCAUCAAAUACCUGUACCGUAAACCGACACAGGUGGGUUGGUAGAGUAUACCAAGGGGCGCGAGAUAACUCUCUCUAAGGAACUCGGCAAAAUGACCCCGUAACUUCGGGAGAAGGGGUGCCAAGUAACUAAAAUUGCUUGGUCGCAGUGACCAGGCCCUGGCGACUGUUUAUCAAAAACACAGGUCUCCGCAAAGUCGUAAGACAACAUAUGGGGGCUGACGCCUGCCCAGUGCCGGAAGGUUAAAGAAGUUGGUUAUUCAUUCGUGGAGAAGCUGACGACUGAAGCCCCGGUGAACGGCGGCCGUAACAAUAACGGUCCUAAGGUAGCGAAAUUCCUUGUCGGGUAAGUUCCGACCCGCACGAAAGGCGUAACGAUCAGGGCACUGUCUCGGAGAGAGACUCGGUGAAAUAGACAUGUCUGUGAAGAUGCGGACUACCUGCACCUGGACAGAAAGACCCUAUGAAGCUUGACUGUAGCCUGGAAUUGGGUUCGGGCUCUUCUUGCGCAGCCUAGGUGGGAGGCGUUGAAAGCUUUCUUUUGGGAAAGCUGGAGCCAUCAGUGAGAGACCACUCUGGAGGAGCUAGAAUUCUAAUGGCGUUCCUUGAAGCAGGACGCUUGACAGUUUCAGGUGGGCAGUUUGACUGGGGCGGUCACCUCCUAAAAGGUAACGGAGGUGUGCAAAGGUUCCCUCAGGCUGGACGGAAAUCAGCCGUAGAGUGUAAAGGCAGAAGGAGCUUGACUGCAAGACCUACAAGUCGAGCAGGGGCGAAAGCCGGCCUUAGUGAUCCGACGGUUCCAUGUGGAAGGGCCGUCGCUCAACGGAUAAAAGUUACUCUAGGAUAACAGGCUGAUCUUCCCCAAGAGUUCACAUCGACGGGAAGGUUUGGCACCUCGAUGUCGGCUCAUCGCAACCUGGGGCGGUAGUACGUCCCAAGGGUUGGGCUGUUCGCCCAUGAAAGCGGUACGUGAGCUGGGUUCAGAACGUCGUGAGACAGUUCGGUCCAUAUCCGGUGUAGGCGUUAGAGCAUUGAGAGGAGCCUUCCAUAGUACGAGAGGACCUGGAAGGACGCACCUCUGGUAUACCAGUUAUCAUGCCAAUGGUACACGCUGGGUAGCCAUGUGCGGAGUGGAUAACCGCUGAAAGCAUCUAAGUGGGAAGCCCACCUCAAGAUGAGUGCUCUCCAUCAGGUCACAGGAAGACAACCUGUUUGAUAGGAAGAAGGUGUAAGGCUAGUAAUAGUUUCAGCUGAUCUGUACUAAUAGACC